Molecule: ribosomal RNA, 301 nt
Filed under: uncultured Desulfurococcus sp.
Lineage: Archaea; Thermoproteati; Thermoproteota; Thermoprotei; Desulfurococcales; Desulfurococcaceae
Description: bacterial SSU rRNA
Rfam family: Bacterial small subunit ribosomal RNA (bases 53-301)
Source: RNAcentral
AAUGAGAGUGGUGCCGGCGGCGGGGGGAAUAAGGAGGAUGAGAGGUUGAAAGGGAUAGACGGGACGUAAAGCGGGCGUGGAGGGUUGUGUAAGUCUGCGGUGAAAUCCCGGGGGUUAACCUGGGAAUGGAAGGGGAUACUGGAGAGCUAGAGUGUGAGGGAGGAUGGUGGAAUUCCCGGUGUAGCGGUGAAAUGCGUAGAGAUCGGGAGGAACAUCAGGGGCGAAGGCGGCCAUCUGGAUCAACACUGACGCGGAGGCACGAAAGCGUGGGGAGCAAACAGGAUUAGAUACCCCAGUAGUC